This is a non-coding RNA of Caretta caretta (loggerhead turtle), 379 nucleotides long. The record is from RefSeq and is a predicted model, not a curated record. Lineage: Eukaryota; Metazoa; Chordata; Testudines; Cheloniidae.
UGCACGCACCAAACACUGCCUCGAGGAGGGUUUCUGCGCUGAAGACGGUGUCUUUGUCUGACAGAAGCGUGGGCGCUGGGGUUUUCAAUCCUUCUAGAAGAGUAUGGGAGUUGGUGGACUCUGCAUAACAACAUUGGCUUAUUAUAGAAAUAAAUAAUGCAAUCCUUGAGAAGGUGCCUUCACUUCCCCGUUAAACCAGGUGGUUGUUUUUUAGCAGCACAGUCUUCUUCCUCAAAUGUGGGAUCUUGUAAGGAUGAGUCUAAAUGAGUCUGCAUCAUCAUAAAGCAUAAGAAGCUUGCUACAGCCCUGCUCUGACCCUUGGCUUGUCUCCUGGCUCCAGCUCUGACCCUUGGCACUGACUCCUGGUUCCUAUUUCUGG